AUUGGGAUAACUGGGUCAUAUAGUGGGUCAUAUAGUUUUUUGAGGAAUCUCCAUACUGCUUUCCAGAGUAGUUAUACUAAUAUGUAGUCCCACCAACAAU
This 100-nucleotide microRNA precursor is filed under the name Marmota monax (woodchuck). Lineage: Eukaryota; Metazoa; Chordata; Mammalia; Rodentia; Sciuridae. The record is from RNAcentral.